AUACCAUGAUGAGGAAACUUUCUGAGCAAUUCUUUGAAUCUUUCCCAAGUCUCGUACAAACUCUCAUCUUCAAGUUGAUGGAAAGAAGUAAUCUCAUUCCAUAACUUU
This is a non-coding RNA of Citrus sinensis (sweet orange), 108 nucleotides long. Lineage: Eukaryota; Viridiplantae; Streptophyta; Magnoliopsida; Sapindales; Rutaceae. The record is from Rfam.